GAGGGUAUAGCUCAGUGGUAGAGCACGUGCUUAGCAUACACAAGGUCCUGGGUUCAAUUCCCAGUUCCUCUA
RNAcentral lists this transfer RNA (72 nucleotides) under Camelus bactrianus (Bactrian camel). It matches the Rfam family "tRNA". Rfam says of the family: Transfer RNA (tRNA) molecules are approximately 80 nucleotides in length. Their secondary structure includes four short double-helical elements and three loops (D, anti-codon, and T loops). RNAcentral also lists the same sequence under 2 other names. Lineage: Eukaryota; Metazoa; Chordata; Mammalia; Artiodactyla; Camelidae. The record is from Rfam by way of RNAcentral.